This 237-nucleotide unclassified non-coding RNA is filed under the name Hevea brasiliensis (rubber tree). The record is from RNAcentral. Lineage: Eukaryota; Viridiplantae; Streptophyta; Magnoliopsida; Malpighiales; Euphorbiaceae.
CUUCUCUAUUAUUAUCAUCUCCAUCAUCUUCUCUUCUCUUUCAUCCACUAACCUCUCAUGCUCCCUCCAAACUUCACCUUAUUAAUCCAAUCUCUAAGAGGCCAUCUACUACCAGAGUUUUCGCAGCACAUGACCAGAACUACAGUGGGCGGCUGGUGGAUGUCAACAUGAUUGUUCUUAGGAAAAGAAUUCAUGAGAUGAAGAUGGUGGAGAGAAACUAUGAGCCUCCUUCCCAUU